This 245-nucleotide ribosomal RNA is filed under the name uncultured bacterium. RNAcentral's name for it is "partial 16S ribosomal RNA". It matches the Rfam family "Bacterial small subunit ribosomal RNA", at positions 524 to 768 of the family's 1533-position model. The record is from RNAcentral.
UACGUAGGGGGCCAGCGUUGUCCGGAAUUACUGGGCGUAAAGCGCACGCAGGCGGUUUGGAAAGCGGCGGGUGCAAUACCGGGGCUCAACUCCGGCACCGCUCGCCGAACUACCAGACUGGAGCACGGGAGAGGGCAGUGGAAUUCCCGGUGUAGCGGUGGAAUGCGUAAAUAUCGGGAGGAACACCAGUGGCGAAGGCUGCUGCCUGGAACGUUGCUGACGCUGAGGUGCGAAAGCCAGGGGAG